AUAUGCUCGGCGAACGGUUUUCACCGUGAUCUGAGAGUUUAGGCUUCUGAGAUCAUUGUGAAGGCCACUUGCCGUGCAAAA
RNAcentral lists this microRNA precursor (81 nucleotides) under Nippostrongylus brasiliensis. RNAcentral's name for it is "mir-81 microRNA precursor family". It matches the Rfam family "mir-81 microRNA precursor family". The record is from Rfam by way of RNAcentral. Lineage: Eukaryota; Metazoa; Nematoda; Chromadorea; Rhabditida; Heligmosomidae.